RNAcentral lists this long non-coding RNA (567 nucleotides) under Spirodela polyrhiza (greater duckweed). RNAcentral describes it as "long non-coding RNA (SPOL_LNC002040)". The record is from RNAcentral. Lineage: Eukaryota; Viridiplantae; Streptophyta; Magnoliopsida; Alismatales; Araceae.
UUCUUCUUCAUCCUUCUCUUCCUCCUCUUCUUCUUUCUCCUCUCCCUCUUUCUCCUCUUCUUUAUCAUCCUGUUCCCCCUCUUCUUCAUGCUCCUGUUCAUCCUCCUAUACCUGCUCGUCUUCUUCAUGCUCCUGUUCAUCCUCCUAUACCUGCUCGUCUUCUUCGUCCUCGCCGGCCCUUGAUCUUCCUUUCUUCCUCUGCUCUGCUCGCAGGAGGCGGUGGAGUGGGAGCACAAGAGCAAGGUCGCCGGCAGGAUGCACGCCUGCGGCCACGACGCCCACGUCGCCAUGCUCCUCGGCGCCGCCCGGAUACUGAAAUCCCGCGAGGCCCACCUCCAGGUCAGACACACACAGGCAGACAAGAUAGAUGAAUAGGUGGAUAGAGAGAGCGAGAGAGAGCUGACCUUGUGCAGUGGGUUUCUGGCAGGGGACGGUGAGGUUGAUCUUCCAGCCGGCGGAGGAGGCGGGGAAUGGCGCCAUGAGGAUGAUCAAGGAAGGGGCGCUGGAGGGAGCAGAGGCCAUAUUCGCCGCCCACGUCUCGCACGAGCACCCCACCUCCAUCGUCGC